Molecule: microRNA precursor, 74 nt
Filed under: Anopheles gambiae (African malaria mosquito)
Lineage: Eukaryota; Metazoa; Arthropoda; Insecta; Diptera; Culicidae
Description: mir-3 microRNA precursor family
Rfam family: mir-3 microRNA precursor family
Source: Rfam by way of RNAcentral
GUUAUGCGACUAACUUCGUUCAGGUGAUGUUCAUUAAGCAAAAUUCCAUCACUGGGCAAAGUUUGUCGCAUAAA